CGGCAAACAGUUCGCCUCCUCAGUCAUCAGUGUGUUGUGUUUGCCCAUCGAGGAAGGAUGAAGGGGUUGGUGUUCGCGUUCAUAACCCUCCUCUGCCACACCCCUGUCAUCACAGCAGAAUCUAAACGCCCCGGGUCGCCGGACGACAGGUUUUACCCUGGUCCCAAGGGUCCCACUCCUGCUCCUAGCCCCGCGCCCACGCCUCCACCCCAUCCUUCGGCACAGUGCCUGGGGCCGUACCCUCACCACCUCCCUUACCCAGACGACCUCUUCUGCCCCCGCUACCGCUUCUAUGAGUGUCGCGAUGGCGUGGCCGUCGUCCGCCGCUGCCCCGACGAGACGGUCUACGACGCCCGCACCGCCGCCGCCCACUACCCCUGCGACUACCCUGAGAACGUCUCCUGCGGCGGCUCCACAGUGGCGUUAGAAAACAUGCUCUUGUACCUAUUUGUGCUGGUGUCUUGUACUUGCUAUUUGUCUUCGUUUCAAUAAAGACUUUAAAAAUGUCCAGUAUCAUGUCCCGUGUUUGGCGUUGAGAAAUAUAUAUUCAGUCGUGCAUAAAAUGGAUGUGAACCUAAUGUUAAUAAUAUAGCAUCCUUUAAGUCGCUCUUGGCACAUUUGUUGAAAGCCGUCAUACAUGCUUGUUGCCUGCUUUUUUUUUUCCUUCCAUUUGGAGCUGUGCUGUAGCCAUGCCAGACUUUUCCCCGGACAGGUAGGUGGUGGUGAGGAAGCCUGAGUCCAUUCGAAUAAACAAAAUCGUUGGAGCAUGCAUAAGGCCAGUGCCCGUGCGCAAGGAAGCUCCCAUAAACAUAUCCACCAUGAUCCUUCCAAUCCAUUAAUUUGUGUAACCAGCGUCUCCAACAGUUCCCACGAGAGAGAAUUAAAUAGACAGCAUGACAUUAUAAUUCAUCCUUACUUCAUUUUUUGUUAACUAGGAAAUACAUGUUAGUUUAACCUCGAACUUUGAGAUGGUAGCUAACCUAUUGUUUUACCUAGGUCCCUCCCUCCUUUUCCACGUCACACCUAUCAUUACAUGGCCUGAUAUAUCUACCUCCUCCUCCCAAAUAUCCUACAAUCUCUUUUCUCCACUGCCUCACUUGCCAUGAUAUAUAUAUUCUACAGCUGAUUCUGCCCCUCUGUCCCUCCAAGUUACUGGGUCCUCAAGCUCCCAAUU
Eriocheir sinensis (Chinese mitten crab) is the source of this 1174-nucleotide long non-coding RNA. RefSeq lists it as uncharacterized. The record is from RefSeq and is a predicted model, not a curated record. Lineage: Eukaryota; Metazoa; Arthropoda; Malacostraca; Decapoda; Varunidae. The transcript has 3 exons.